UGGCUCAGAAGUUAAAGCAUCUGCCUGCAAUGCAGGAGACCUGGGUUCAAUCCCUG
Bos taurus (domestic cattle) is the source of this 56-nucleotide non-coding RNA. NCBI's taxonomy places the organism in Eukaryota, Metazoa, Chordata, Mammalia, Artiodactyla, Bovidae. The record is from Rfam.